AAUGAACGUUGGCGGCGUGGAUUAGGCAUGCAAGUCGCGCGUGUACCCGCAAGGGGAAAGCGGCGUAAGGGACAGUAAUGUGUAGGUAUCUACCCUCGGGUCGGGAAUAGCCACGGGAAACUGUGGGUAAUGCCCGAUAAUAUCUCCGGAUCAAAGGUGUGAUUCCGCCGGAGGAUGAGCCUGCAUCCUAUUAGCUAGUUGGCGAGGUAACGGCUCACCAAGGCAAUGAUGGGUAGGGGGUGUGAGAGCACGACCCCCGUCACUGGGACUGAGACACUGCCCAGACACCUACGGGUGGCUGCAGUCGAGGAUCUUCGGCAAUGGGCGCAAGCCUGACCGAGCGACGCCGCGUGCGGGAUGAAGGCCUUCGGGUUGUAAACCGCUGUCAGUGGGGAGGAAAUGCCGGUGGGUUCUCCCAUCGGUUUGACCUAUCCGCAGAGGAAGCAAGGGCUAAGUUCGUGCCAGCCGCCGCAGUAAAAC
Molecule: ribosomal RNA, 480 nt
Filed under: uncultured bacterium
Lineage: Bacteria
Description: bacterial SSU rRNA
Rfam family: Bacterial small subunit ribosomal RNA
Source: RNAcentral